Long non-coding RNA from Tupaia belangeri chinensis (Chinese tree shrew), 1692 nucleotides. RefSeq lists it as uncharacterized. The record is from RefSeq and is a predicted model, not a curated record. The transcript has 3 exons. NCBI's taxonomy places the organism in Eukaryota, Metazoa, Chordata, Mammalia, Scandentia, Tupaiidae.
GGGCUGCGGGGUUUUGAGAGACGCAAGUCCCUCCAUAUGCCGCCGGCUUAAUCAAUAAACUCCAAUCAAUUCGGCUGUCUGGACAUCCUCUUAUUUCUCGCUGAGUAGACUACAUUUGGAGGCACAGUGAGAUCUGCGCCUGUCUAGUACGUGGGUGAAGCAUCCUAGGGAGAGUGGCCUCGCUUGCUCAGCUGCCAUCUACCCAGAGACUGCUCUGGGGAAGGCGCCCCCUGGGACUUCCCCCCAGGGACUUCCCAGGGCCCUGGAACUCUUCUCAGGAUUGUGGACAGCUGACAAGAGACGCUGACUGCUCCUCCAGAAGCGUGUGGAGUUUCUUUUGCUGUAAGACCUCCGGAGGCAUUUCCUUGGGUGUUCUGUCCUGUCCUGUCCUCUUUGCUUCGGAGAAGACAAACCGGUGAGUAAGGGGUUGGCUAUGGGAGGAGCCCCCUGAAGUCUGGCCUGGCUGGGACAAGGGCUGUAAACCCUUCUCUGUAGGUGGCUGGGACUCAGGGCUUACUGGACACGGUUACAGAACACUUACUCGGGUUCCACCAGAUGUACUUGGAACCCCGGGGCGGGGUGCCUGUAGACGGUUUGGGGAAACCCGGGCAACUCGGGCUGGAGGCCCUUGACAGGGGUCUUAGGGAUUCUCUGGGUUUCUACUGCUUUUACUGUUGAUUUGCUUAUUUCCUUCGGAACCUCUAGGAAAAUAUUUCUUGGUUCUAUCCCUUAUCCCCUUCAGUGGGGAAUACAGAACAAUGGAUUACUGACCUCACACACCAGGGGGUUCUUUAAGAAUUUUACUCUGAAGAGUUUGAAAUGUUUGCUUGCUUGCUUCUCUUCAUUCUCUGAUUGGUGGGAGGGAAUGUUACAGCCUCUGGUGUGCUGGGUGAAUGAAGGAUUGUACGUCUGUGUUUGCGGGCCCACGGCGAAAAGCUAUGGGAUCCGACUGUGUCCAGUCCUGCGGGUUCCUGGAGUCCUCAUACGGCUAAUCAGCGCUGGGGGUCACUGACCCUCCCUGCGCGUGUGACCCUACGGCGGGCUUAUACCGGUUACCGAAGCUAAGAGGCUCCCUGAGGUCCCGGGUUGCAGAGAAGAUUAUGGAGAAGAGACCCUGCGGCUUCUGCCCACCUUUUACCACAACCCUCAGAGUGUCUCCUCUGUGACCGAGGUACUUGGGGAGAUAAACCGUCGGAUUCUCCUGGUCUGCAGCAGUUCUAGGCUGCUAGGCACCCUCUGAGGGCCAGCUAGCGGUCUGUGCUGGUGCGGAAGGAUCUUCUCAUCGGAGAGCCGGCCUCCUAGCCCAGCUCCUCCGCGGGCAAGCUCUGUGCCCUUUCUGAGCUCGUUUUCUCCACGGGCCCACGGACAGUAAAAACCUUCUUGCUGGGCUGAAGAUCUGUGAAAGGGCCGCACACCAGCUCCGGCGGUAGUCUCCUCGUUCAGGAGGUUAUUGUGAACACCAGGUGAGAACAUGAAUGUAGAAGGGACUUGGCGGCCUGUGAAACUCUCGCUACACUUUGGACUCUGCACCGCUAAUGCAUUAAUAUUACAAAUGCUAAUGAGGGUGCAGGGAGGUAAGAGGACCCGCUAGGUAUUCUGGAAGGGUGUCACUUUCACGAUCUCCGAAUUAGAUGGACAGGCAUCAUGGUCACACUGCUAAAGCAUCAGGGGACCAGCAGUUGGUGUAAUGGC